Molecule: long non-coding RNA, 1016 nt
Organism: Lathyrus oleraceus (garden pea)
Lineage: Eukaryota; Viridiplantae; Streptophyta; Magnoliopsida; Fabales; Fabaceae
Exons: 3
Source: RefSeq, a predicted model, not a curated record
UCAAAUUUCAUGGGUUUAACAUCUACCUUUUCAUCAUUCACACAAUUCAAUCAAAUUUCAUGGGUUUAAUAUCUACAUUUUCAUCAUUCACACCAUUCAAUCAAAUUUCACGGGUUUAACAUCAACAUUUUCAUCAUUCACACAAUUCAAUCAAAUUCCAUGGCUUUAACAACAACAAUUUCAUCAUUCACACAAUUCAAUCAAAUUUCAUGGGUUUAACAUCAACAUUUUCAUCAUUCAUACAAUUCAAUCAAAUUUCAUGGCUUUAACGACAACACUUUCAUCAUUCACAUAAUUCAAUCAAAUUUCAUGUGUUUAACAACGGCAUUUUCAUCAUUCACACAAUUCAAUCAAAUUUCAUGGGUUUAAUAUCUACAUUUUCAUCAUUCACACCAUUCAAUCAAAUUUCACGGGUUUAACAUCAACAUUUUCAUCAUUCACACAAUUCAAUCAAAUUUCAUGGCUUUAACAACAACAAUUUCAUUAUUCACACAAUUCAAUCAAAUUUCAUAGGUUUAACAUCAACAUUUUCAUCAUUCACACAAUUCAAUCCAAUUUCCUGGGUUUAACAAUAGCAUUUUCAUCAUUCACACAAUUCAAUCAAAUUUCAUAGGUUUAACAUCUACCUUUUCAUCAUUCACACAAUUCAAUCAAAUUUCAUGGCUUUAACAACAAAAUUUUCAUCAUUCACACAAUGCAAUCAAAUUUCAUAGGUUUAACAUCUACCUUUUCAUCAUUCACACCAUUCAAUCAAAUUUCAUGGCUUUAACAACAACAUUUUCAUCAUUCACACAAUGCAAUCAAAUUUCAUGGCUUUAACAUCUACCUUUUCAUCAUUCACGCCAUUCAAUCAAAUCUCACGGGUUUAUGAUCAACAUUUUCAUCAUUCACACAAUUCAAUCAAAUUUCUUGGCAUUAACAACUACAUUUUCAUCAUUCACACAAUUCAAUCAAAUUUCAUAGGUUUAACAACAACAUUUUUAUCAUUUACAUAAUUCAAUCAAAUUUCAUGGGUU